This is a small nucleolar RNA of Paramisgurnus dabryanus, 129 nucleotides long. RefSeq annotates it as small nucleolar RNA SNORA63. The record is from RefSeq and is a predicted model, not a curated record. NCBI's taxonomy places the organism in Eukaryota, Metazoa, Chordata, Actinopteri, Cypriniformes, Cobitidae.
GUGCAGGAUAAGUUACAAUUCAGCUGUUGCCGUGCUGGUUUGUCGUUCCCCCUGCAAAAAUGAAUUUGUUUCCUACUAUCCCUGUGAGAUUGCUAUCCACAGCUCACAGGGACGCUUGGUCUCAAACAU